GUGCCUGUGAAGAAUGAGGACAUGUUCAACCCAGCAGGAAGGAGCUGGCCAGUUCUGAAAAGUGAGCUGCCGUGGUGGGGACCAGUUUCGGUGACGGAAUCAGAAGUGCUGACCUCCUCCAGCGCCUGGUACAGGCAACCUGCUAGCUCCGGGCCGGACACAGGCCACACAAAGGCGUUGUUAUUCACCGGCUCUGUGAGGCUGUUAGACUCCUGUGAAUAAGGCACCAUUUGUUUUAUCUGGUCCUGGAUGGAACGAGUGUUUGCCAGAUGUCAGGAAGUGCCAGGUGCAAAGCUGCGUAACCGCCAUUCACAGAGUUUUCCAGCGCUUCGUACGGAGACAGCAUAACUGGGCCGUUUCCACUUGGAACUGCUGUCUGAGAAAAUGCCAGUCAUUUUGUUUGCAACGUAGUUCUGAAGGCUCAGCAUUAAAGUGGAAUCUCCUGUCCCUGGACAGCUAAUAAUAGGUCUGUGCUGACACUGAACAUCAGCGCCUCUGCGGGCCCGAGCUUUCACAAAGCACAGCAAGUUUUCUAUGAGGCCAAUUCCAAGGCCGGUGGCUAAGUGCAGCCCCCUAAAUCCUUUCAAGUAGCCUUUUGAAGUUGGGUGUUCACCAUAAGUGCACCACUCAGAUAGGAACAUCUCUCAGAAAAACCUGCCCUGUUUACAAGUAGUGGGGUAGCCAGAAAGGUCUAAAAACUAGGCAGUAUUGGAGAUGAUAUGAUGAUCUACUUGGAAAUCCAGAUGAACCAAUCGCAGACAAACUGUUACAAAUAAGAAUUGCAUAGGAGAGGAUAGAAUAGGUCUGGCAUGAUGGCUCAUGCCUGUAAUCCCAACACUUUGGGAGGCUGAGGUGGGAAGACCACUUGAGCUCAGGAGUUUGAGACCAGCCUGGACAACAUGGUAAAAGCCUGUCUCUACAAAAAAUACAAAAACUUAAGACAGGUGUGAUGGCUCAUGUCUGUAGUCCCAGCUACUUGGGGGCUGAGGUGGAAGGAUCACCUAAGCCCAGGAGGUGAAGGUCACAGUGAGCCAUGAUCACACCACUGUACUCCAGCCUGGGUGACAGAGCAAGACUCUGUCUCAAAAAAAAAAAAAAAA
Molecule: long non-coding RNA, 1100 nt
Filed under: Macaca fascicularis (crab-eating macaque)
Lineage: Eukaryota; Metazoa; Chordata; Mammalia; Primates; Cercopithecidae
Description: lncRNA (ENSMFAG00000049147.1)
Source: RNAcentral